Molecule: small nucleolar RNA, 135 nt
Organism: Chlorocebus sabaeus (green monkey)
Lineage: Eukaryota; Metazoa; Chordata; Mammalia; Primates; Cercopithecidae
Gene: SNORA70
Rfam family: Small nucleolar RNA SNORA70
About the family: snoRNA U70 seems to be exclusive to mammals and is a member of the H/ACA class of snoRNA which contain H (ANANNA) and ACA box motifs. H/ACA box snoRNAs are involved in the conversion of uridines to pseudouridines (5-ribosyluracil) a constituent of structural RNAs (transfer, ribosomal, small nuclear, and small nucleolar).
Source: Ensembl
CUGUAGCCAGUUAAGCUGACUGUGUUCCUUUCCUCAUGGGGGCUCAGUGUGCAAUGGCUGCACACAGCAGCUUCCUUGGUAGUAUACUCAGCCUGAUUCUUGUAUGGGUUGCUCUAAGGGACCUUGGAGACAGGC